AGAGUUUGAUCAUGGCUCAGAUUGAACGCUGGCGGCAGGCCUAACACAUGCAAGUCGAGCGGUAGCACAGAGAGCUUGCUCUCGGGUGACGAGCGGCGGACGGGUGAGUAAUGUCUGGGAAACUGCCUGAUGGAGGGGGAUAACUACUGGAAACGGUAGCUAAUACCGCAUAAUGUCGCAAGACCAAAGUGGGGGACCUUCGGGCCUCAUGCCAUCAGAUGUGCCCAGAUGGGAUUAGCUAGUAGGUGGGGUAACGGCUCACCUAGGCGACGAUCCCUAGCUGGUCUGAGAGGAUGACCAGCCACACUGGAACUGAGACACGGUCCAGACUCCUACGGGAGGCAGCAGUGGGGAAUAUUGCACAAUGGGCGCAAGCCUGAUGCAGCCAUGCCGCGUGUGUGAAGAAGGCCUUCGGGUUGUAAAGCACUUUCAGCGGGGAGGAAGGCGUUAAGGUUAAUAACCUUAGCGAUUGACGUUACCCGCAGAAGAAGCACCGGCUAACUCCGUGCCAGCAGCCGCGGUAAUACGGAGGGUGCAAGCGUUAAUCGGAAUUACUGGGCGUAAAGCGCACGCAGGCGGUCUGUCAAGUCGGAUGUGAAAUCCCCGGGCUCAACCUGGGAACUGCAUUCGAAACUGGCAGGCUAGAGUCUUGUAGAGGGGGGUAGAAUUCCAGGUGUAGCGGUGAAAUGCGUAGAGAUCUGGAGGAAUACCGGUGGCGAAGGCGGCCCCCUGGACAAAGACUGACGCUCAGGUGCGAAAGCGUGGGGAGCAAACAGGAUUAGAUACCCUGGUAGUCCACGCCGUAAACGAUGUCGAUUUGGAGGUUGUGCCCUUGAGGCGUGGCUUCCGGAGCUAACGCGUUAAAUCGACCGCCUGGGGAGUACGGCCGCAAGGUUAAAACUCAAAUGAAUUGACGGGGGCCCGCACAAGCGGUGGAGCAUGUGGUUUAAUUCGAUGCAACGCGAAGAACCUUACCUGGUCUUGACAUCCACAGAACUUUCCAGAGAUGGAUUGGUGCCUUCGGGAACUGUGAGACAGGUGCUGCAUGGCUGUCGUCAGCUCGUGUUGUGAAAUGUUGGGUUAAGUCCCGCAACGAGCGCAACCCUUAUCCUUUGUUGCCAGCGGUCCGGCCGGGAACUCAAAGGAGACUGCCAGUGAUAAACUGGAGGAAGGUGGGGAUGACGUCAAGUCAUCAUGGCCCUUACGACCAGGGCUACACACGUGCUACAAUGGCAUAUACAAAGAGAAGCGACCUCGCGAGAGCAAGCGGACCUCAUAAAGUAUGUCGUAGUCCGGAUUGGAGUCUGCAACUCGACUCCAUGAAGUCGGAAUCGCUAGUAAUCGUAGAUCAGAAUGCUACGGUGAAUACGUUCCCGGGCCUUGUACACACCGCCCGUCACACCAUGGGAGUGGGUUGCAAAAGAAGUAGGUAGCUUAACCUUCGGGAGGGCGCUUACCACUUUGUGAUUCAUGACUGGGGUGAAGUCGUAACAAGGUAACCGUAGGGGAACCUGCGGUUGGAUCACCU
This 1528-nucleotide ribosomal RNA is filed under the name Klebsiella pneumoniae BIDMC 25. Its description in RNAcentral is "bacterial SSU rRNA". It matches the Rfam family "Bacterial small subunit ribosomal RNA". The record is from RNAcentral. Lineage: Bacteria; Pseudomonadati; Pseudomonadota; Gammaproteobacteria; Enterobacterales; Enterobacteriaceae.